RNAcentral lists this long non-coding RNA (3257 nucleotides) under Gallus gallus (chicken). Its description in RNAcentral is "lncRNA (ENSGALG00010005169.1)". The record is from RNAcentral. Lineage: Eukaryota; Metazoa; Chordata; Aves; Galliformes; Phasianidae.
GUCGCCGUGUUCGUUCCGACGGUGUUUCUGGCUUUGUUUUAUUCAAAGCUUAAGUUAAAGAAAUGAUUCAGAGUUAGCCCUCGAUCCGCGUGCUGGAUUGCAGCCAGACGCGGUGCUGCGGCUCUUUGGGACUCCGGAAAUACCCGGCAGGACCGGGAGGGCAACCGAGGGCUCCCAGUCUGUUGGCUGGGAUGGAAGCGCGGUGCCGCGGCUGCAGCCUUUCAGAUCUUAAUUGUUCUGAACCGGCGGGGUAUUUCAGCAGAGCCGACGCGGCAACGGGGGGAGCAAUCGCACCUACGGGAGGAGGACGUCGUGGUUUUCGAUUUCCUCUCCGUCUCGCACACAAACACCGCGUUUCUGGGUCUGUCUGUGUACACACGCGUAGCGAAUUGUGGGUGGCUGCGUAUCGCACACACGCGUCCGUAAAUUGCUCUAAUAUGUUUCCACGUUCAGGGGCCGGAUCGGCAGCAAAUAAAUGCUCCCUGAUUUAGAGCGCUCCUCAGGUGCCGCAAACACCGAUGAACCAAAAUCCGCACGUAGGAAAUGGGCGCUCCCUUCGCACGCACACGCAGACACACACGGCCAGAGAGAGGGAGAAGAAGAGGGAGGAAAAGAAAGGAAAGGGGAACUCGAUUUAUUCUCAUUUGUUUAUCUCUGGAUUUUCCCCCCUUUCUGCAAAUUCAUUUGAAUAGCUUUCAAGCUGCAAAAUGGAAAUGUGGCUCCUGCCCUCUAUUUCAGCAGCAGCGUCCUGGCAACAGAGCAAUUUUCUAUCAUCAAGGAUAAAUGGCAUCGAACAGAACAUUCUGAUAAAAAAGAAAAAAAAAAAAAAAGCUUUAGCCCGAGAAGCCCAUGAUUGCUGCCCUUCCUGUCUGUCAUCCCUUUACAAAAUCCUCUCCUCCAAACCUGAGCUGCAUGCUGUCAGAGCUAAUAACGUCUUCUAAAGAAAAGGGGAAGAAACGGCAUUCGUGCACAAUGUUCCCAUUUAUUACAUAGAGUGCUUAUUUUAAAAAAUCGCAAAUAUAUUUGUUUGGUUCACCGCAAAUUAAAACCAAGAUAUAGGAAGUUACGCGAUGCAACAAUUAUUCGUGUCACAGCAGAGCAUCAAACCCCCGGAUCUUGCUUUUCCAUUGGUUAGCGCGUGUGUGCGCGUUGUGUGUGUGUGUGUGUAACGCAGGGAAUAUCCCUUGUUAUGAAAAUAAAAAUCCACUCCGAUCCUCCCGGUAAGGCUGGCUUUUGUUGCUGGAGAGCUAAGGGGGAACAAAACGCGCACUGAUGGAGGCAGUGCGGAGCGGGGGGCAGAGCGCAGAGCCGCCCGCAGAGGCCGGUCGGUGUGCGGGGCCGCCGGGCGAGGUGCGGCCGUCCCGGCCCCCCAUACUGGCUUCGGCUGAGAGCGCGGCGUGCGCGCCUGUACGGAGAGGGGCUGCAAGGCGUGGAGGAGCCCUGUGAGGCUGUCCGAGCUCUCAGCGCAGGCCGAGGACGUGCGGGAAGACAAGGCCGGGAGGCGCUGCCGGAGCGCCGGGGAGAGGCGAUGGCUGCGUGCGGAGGGCACCCGGCCCGCACCUGCGCCUCCUCCCCCGGCCCGUUCCCACCGCCGCUCCGUGACGACGGGAAGAUUAACGAGGCCUCUCAGCAGCACCUGUCUGUUUAAGCUGUCGACACAGCCAAUUAAUACUUUUAAUUACCCCUACCGGGAAACUAACCAGAGCCCCUCCGCUUUGGGUCGCCCGCUGCGCUUUCUCACCCGCAAAACGAAGCAGAGCGGCGGAGGGAGGAGCGGCGUGGGGUUGGGGGGGGGGAGGAAUUCCUGAAAGACUGGGGAUUAUUACAGGGGGUCGGGAGGGAGAUUUGAGUUUGGGUUUAUUUCGCUCCGCUUCCCCCAGAACUCCGGGGCCGGAGGAACGCGCGGCUCUGGCUCUCAGGAGGGCUCCCUGAGCCCAUCCCGGCCCGCUCGGCCCACGGGCUCCCCGAACACGCGGCUCCGGCCCGACAUCGGGCACCGCUCCCUCCGCCCCGGCGCUGUGCGGAGCCGGGCGCUCCCUUCUGGGAACCCCGUGCCGCUCUCGGGCCUCGCAGCUCUGUCACAGCCGCGGUGUCCCGCGUUAAAACAACGUAAAUCCGCGACGGAUCCUGAAUGUGAAUGAGGCAUGGGUCGUGUGACUGCUGCUGAGCUGUGCCGCGCCGAAUGUGGCUUUAAUUAAAUGUCUUCCGGCUCUAAAAGAUUACACGUUGUGCGAGAUAUAUCCUAGCGUGAAAUUCACUUCGGCGAUACGAAAUGAGGUUACUUAUAAAUGUCUUCAUUUAAAAAGGAAAAGCGCUUCUCCCCGUUCUGCUUUCUGCUUUGUCGAAUCGAGCGCUCCGGCGAGGAGGAAGGGCUGGGACCGUAUAUUUAUAGCGGCACGUGUAACAAAACCUGCCCGGGCGGGCGGGCGAGGGCUGCUCGCUGCAAUUCGCAGCACGGCGAAGUCAAUCCCGAGCUGAUUCGUUUCAGCCCCGCUGUCAGAGCCCGCUGCCUCCGCACCCCGCGCUGCGGAGCUCCCGCCUCCUCCCCCCGCAUCCCUCCGCGGCUGUGCCGGUGCUGGGCGUGGGUCGGGCAGGUGGGGAGAGUCGGUCAGAUCCUCUUACAAAAUAAAAUCAAAUGAUAUAAAAUAAUGCAAAAUAAUUCGAGUCAGGGGGAGGACGGCUCGCUGCGAGCCUCGGACCGCCGGCAAAGAGCGGCUGCACGGGGCCGACGGCACCGCGCUCGGUACGGGGGGACCGAAGCCGCAGCCGGCAGUGUUCUGUUGGUCCGUUCCUUUUUACGCCCUCUGGUCUGGGAUCUCGCCUAUAGUCCGUUGAGACCCUGACAAAAGAGGCUGUAGAGAGAUGGAGAUGCGAGAUAAACCCAUCGGGCAAUCUCAUUACGUGGCAACGAGCGAAGAGCCCUCCUCGCAAUCGACUCGAGAUAACGAGGCUGCCUGGAGGAACGAGCGAAGCCCGGAUAUUUACUUCUUUUCCUAUUAAAUAAACCUCAAUAACUGCAUUGGCUUUGCGCGGUGUUUACUACAUUUUCAUUCAGCGUUUGGGUAAAUGCAUCCCUAAAGGUAGAGUAAAUAAUUGCACUGAUCUCAACAAGGGAAACGUGUAGGCAUCUGAAGCGUACUAAAAAUAAACGAAGGCGAUCAGACUGCGGGGAGAGGACCCCGCGCUCGUUGCCGCAGUUAAAGCCCCUCUCCCCCAUCGGGGCCGCCCGGACGGGGCCGCGCUGCGGGCGGUGCGCG